This 677-nucleotide ribosomal RNA is filed under the name uncultured Spiroplasma sp. Its description in RNAcentral is "bacterial SSU rRNA". It matches the Rfam family "Bacterial small subunit ribosomal RNA", at positions 28 to 704 of the family's 1533-position model. Lineage: Bacteria; Bacillati; Mycoplasmatota; Mollicutes; Entomoplasmatales; Spiroplasmataceae. The record is from RNAcentral.
GAUUAACGCUGGCGGCAUGCCUAAUACAUGCAAGUCGAACGGAGUAGCAAUACUUAGUGGCGAACGGGUGAGUAACACGUAUCUAAUCUACCAUUUAGUGGGGAAUAACUGUUGGAAACGACAGCUAAUACCGCAUAAUAUUGCUGGAUAAUUUCCAGUAAUGAAAGGAGCUUUCAAGCUCCGCUGAUUGAUGAGGAUGCGGCGCAUUAGCUAGUUGGUAGGGUAAUGGCCUACCAAGGCAAUGAUGCGUAGCCGAUCUGAGAGGAUGAACGGCCACAUUGGGACUGAGACACGGCCCAAACUUCUACGGAAGGCAGCAGUAGGGAAUUUUUCACAAUGGGCGAAAGCCUGAUGGAGCAAUGCCGCGUGACUGAUGAAGGUCUUCGGAUUGUAAAGGUCUGUUGUAAGGGAAGAAAUGGUAAAACAGGAAAUGGUUUUAUCUAUGACGGUACCUUACCAGAAAGCCACGGCUAACUAUGUGCCAGCAGCCGCGGUAAUACAUAGGUGGCAAGCGUUAUCCGGAUUUAUUGGGCGUAAAGGGUGCGUAGACGGUUUUGCAAGUCUGAGGUUAAAUUUAGGAGCUCAACUCCUAAUCGCCUUGGAAACUACAAGACUAGAGUAUAGGAGAGGUUAGUGGAAUUCCAUGUGUAGCGGUGGAAUGUGUAGAUAUAUGGAGG